Esox lucius (northern pike) is the source of this 1534-nucleotide long non-coding RNA. Lineage: Eukaryota; Metazoa; Chordata; Actinopteri; Esociformes; Esocidae. The record is from Ensembl.
CUUUACCAUUCAGCACCAUGGUUUGCAUAGAAAUGCUGCCAGAGGCCUGCUUAGCUUGUACAGCAUGCCAUUUUCGAGCUAUGAGAGAGAGAGAUAGCGAGAAGGAGGGAGAGACAGAGAGAGAGAAAACAAUCUGCUACAUCUCCUUCAGCCACCGGACACACUGGAGCUCAAUGACUCUCCACAUCUCUCAAGAUCACAUCCACCACCAACUACUGUGUUUUGAUCCUUAUUGUUAAUAGACAAGCUAUUCUGUCUUUCUUUCAAAAAUACAAGAAAAAAAACAAGGAACUCUCUCACACAGACACACAUACACGUACAGACAAAGGCUCACAUACGUACAGACACAGUCACACACACGUACAGACACAGGCACACACACGUACAGACACAGGCAUACACAUGUACAUACACAGGCACACACACAUACAGACACAGGCACACACGUACAGACACAGGCACACACACGUACAGACACAGGCACACACACGUACAGACACAGGCAUACACAUGUACAUACACAGGCACACACACAUACAGACACAGGCACACACGUACAGACACAGGCACACACAUGUACAGACACAGGCACACACACGUACAGACACAGGCAUACAUACGUACAGACACAGGCAUACACAUGUACAGACACAGGCACACACACGUACAGACACAGACAUACAUACGUACAGACACAGGCAUACAUACGUACAGACACAGGCACACACACAUACAGACACAGGCACACACGUACAGACACAGGCACACACACGUACAGACACAGGCAUACACAUGUACAGACACAGGCACACACACGUACAGACACAGGCAUACACAUGUACAGACACAGGCACACACACGUACAGACACAGACAUACAUACGUACAGACACAGGCAUACAUACGUACAGACACAGGCACACACAUGUACAUACACAGGCACACACACGUACAGACACAGGCACACACACGUACAGACACAGGCACACACAUGUACAGACACAGGCACACACACAUACAGACACAGGCACACACACAUACAGACACAGGCACACACACAUACAGACACAGGCACACACACGUACAGACACAGGCACACACACGUACAGACACAGGCAUACAUACGUACAGACACAGUCACACAUAUGUACAGACACAGGCACACACAUGUACAUACACAGGCACACACACGUACAGACACAGUCACACACAUGUACAGACACACACACAUACAGACACAGGCACACACACGUACAGACACAGGCACACACACGUACAGACACACACACACACACAUACAGACACAGGCACACACACGUACACACACACACACACACACAUACAGACACAGGCACACACACGUACAGACACAGGCACACACACAUACAGACACAGACACACAACUACAAGCGAAGGCACACACAUGUACAGACACAGGCACACACACGUACAGACACAGGCACACACACGUAACGACACAUAGACACACAGACACACACACUCUCUACCUCUGCCCCCCCCCCACAGCAGCAGCC